RNAcentral lists this unclassified non-coding RNA (225 nucleotides) under plant metagenome. RNAcentral describes it as "partial contains small subunit ribosomal RNA, internal transcribed spacer 1, and 5.8S ribosomal RNA". The record is from RNAcentral.
UCUCCGUUGGUGAACCAGCGGAGGGAUCAUUACAGGACUCGCAAGACUCCUACAACCCUGUGAACUUAACUAUAAGCACGUUGCUUCGGCGGGUGUCUCGGAGGGGGUUCACCCUCCCCGAGACGCUAAACCCGCCGGCAGCCUACUAUACUCUGUCUCUUUGCGUUGGCAUCUCGAGUACAAUCAAACAAGUUAAAACUUUCAACAACGGAUCUCUUGGUUCUG